GAGUAACGCGUGGGAAUCUACCGAGUAGUGGGGGACAACCAGUGGAAACGCUGGCUAAUACCGCAUACGCCCUAAGGGGGAAAGAGGGGGACCGUAAGGCCUCUUGCUAUUCGAUGAGCCCGCGUAAGAUUAGCUAGUUGGUGGGGUAAAGGCCUACCAAGGCGACGAUCUUUAGCUGGUCUGAGAGGAUGAUCAGCCACACUGGAACUGAGACACGGUCCAGACUCC
This 228-nucleotide ribosomal RNA is filed under the name uncultured bacterium. RNAcentral describes it as "partial 16S ribosomal RNA". It matches the Rfam family "Bacterial small subunit ribosomal RNA", at positions 108 to 339 of the family's 1533-position model. The record is from RNAcentral.